RNAcentral lists this small nuclear RNA (141 nucleotides) under Alligator sinensis (Chinese alligator). RNAcentral's name for it is "U4 spliceosomal RNA". It matches the Rfam family "U4 spliceosomal RNA". Rfam says of the family: U4 small nuclear RNA (U4 snRNA) is a component of the major U2-dependent spliceosome. The structure of U4 snRNA from yeast and human has been reported. U4 snRNA presents a k-turn RNA motif in the 5p-SL related to recognition of Snu13 protein. The record is from Rfam by way of RNAcentral. Lineage: Eukaryota; Metazoa; Chordata; Crocodylia; Alligatoridae.
AUCUUUGUGCAGUGGCAGUAUUGUAGCCUAUGAGGUUAAACUGAGGCACAAUUAUUGCUAGUUGAAAACUUUUCCCAAUACCCUGCUCUGAGAGCUUGAAAUAUAGCUUUCGUGAGCAAUUUUUGGGAGCCUCUGCCGAGG